GACGAACGCUGGCGGCGUGCUUAACACAUGCAAGUCGAACGAUGAACCCGGAGCUUGCUCCGGUGGAUUAGUGGCGAACGGGUGAGUAACACGUGAGUAACCUGCCCUUGACUCUGGGAUAACUGCGGGAAACUGUAGCUAAUACCGGAUACGACCCUCGGCGGCAUCGCCAGGGGGUGGAAAGAAUUUCGGUCAAGGAUGGACUCGCGGCCUAUCAGCUAGUUGGUGAGGUAACGGCUCAACAAGGCGACGACUGGUAGCCGGCCUGAGAGGGUGGCCGGCCACCCUGGGACUGAGACACGGCCCAGACCCCUACGGGAGGCAGCAGUGGGGAAUAUUGCACAAUGGGCGCAAGCCUGAUGCAGCGACGCCGCGUGAGGGAUGACGGCCUUCGGGUUGUAAACCUCUUUUAGCAGGGAAGAAGCGAAAGUGACGGUACCUGCAGAAAAAGCACCGGCUAACUACGUGCCAGCCGCCGCCGUAA
RNAcentral lists this ribosomal RNA (484 nucleotides) under uncultured bacterium. Its description in RNAcentral is "partial 16S ribosomal RNA". It matches the Rfam family "Bacterial small subunit ribosomal RNA", at positions 28 to 523 of the family's 1533-position model. The record is from RNAcentral.